RNAcentral lists this long non-coding RNA (2775 nucleotides) under Pan troglodytes (chimpanzee). Its description in RNAcentral is "lncRNA (ENSPTRG00000053174.1)". Lineage: Eukaryota; Metazoa; Chordata; Mammalia; Primates; Hominidae. The record is from RNAcentral.
UAGUAAAGCCACUGUCUUUACUAAGUUCAGGGUCCUUGUCACGUUCACUGAGGCUGUAACAUAAUUGUUAGAAAGAACAGGAGUGGGAGGGGAGAUGGAGUCGGAGAGUCAGGCAGAGGUUAGAUCACCUACAGGCCAAGGUGGAGGAAGAAACAGGCGACACAGGACUCAAGGACAACACCUGCUCCCAGGCAAAAGGAGUUUGCUGUGGGUGCCCCUCCCUGUCUGUGUGUCCAGUGUGUGGAUAUUCUUUAUACUUUGCCCAUACUGUACAAAUGCUUUUUUUCUAUUCAAUAUUUAGAAGACAUUGCAUUAAAUAGCAAGAUGGCAGAUGAACAUCAGGAAAGAACAUUAGGAACAUCCACAGUGUUCCAUCCAGGAACCUUCACCAUGGAAACCCUUGUGCUCAUGGGCCUGGUCUCAAGACACAUUCAGCUGUUGGGGAUCAGAGGCCGCACUCAUCGUAGCAGAGAGGCAGGACCAACUGGGAGAGGGUCAUUCUGUGACACCUACUGCAUCACCGGGCUGUGUGAAGUGACUCAGCUGCCAGAACUCACACAAUAUCAUUCUACACCAAAACCUCACGGGAAAAAUGCUCCACGACCCUCAGACUUAAACAGCAGCACGGGCUGUUCCCCAAAACUCCAGAUCCACAACCUUCUGACUUAAAUGGCAGUAGCACUGGCUCCUCCCUAGGUCUCCAGUUCCAUGACCCUCAAACUACACAGCAGUACCAGCUCCUCCCCAGGUGUACAGCUCCACCACCCUCACACUAGACACCAAGACUGUCUCCUCCCCACUCUCCAGCUACAUGACCCUCAGACUUGAACAGCAGCAGCAGAUCUUUCCUGUACCUCAAGCCCCAUGACCUCGGAUUUCAACAACAACAACACCAGCUCCUGCCUAGGGCUCCAGCUCCAGGACCCACAGAUUUAAACGACAGCACCGGCUCUCCCCAGGAUCUCCAGCGCCACUACCCUUAAACUAGAACAGCAGCACCGCCUCCUCUCUGGUUCUUCAGUUGCACAACACUCAGGCACGAACAGCAGCACCGGCUCUUCCUUGGGUCUCCAGCUUCACUACCCUCAGACUAGAACAGCAACACUUGUUCCUCCCUGGAUCUCCAGCUCAAUGACUCCCAGACUUGAAAGGCAGCACCAACUCCUCCAUGGAUCUCCAGCUCCAUGACACUCAAAACAACAUGGCUCCUCCCUGGGUCUGCAGCUCCAGGACCCUCGAACUACAACAACAUUGUUCCUCCCUGGGUCUGCGGCUCCAUGAUCCUCAAACUCGAACAAGACCUCUCCUCCCUGGGUCUCCAGCUUCCGGACCCUCAAAUUACAACAACAUUGCUCCUGCCUGGGUCUGCAGCUCCACGACCCACAAAUAAGAACAAGACAAGACCUCUCCUCCCUGGGUCUCCAGCUUCCUGAUCCUCGAACUACAACAACAUUGCUCCUGCCUGGGUCUGUAGCUCGACAACCCUCAAACUAGAACAAGACCUCUUUUCCCUGGUUCGCCAGCUUCCGGACCCUCAAACUAAAACAACAUUGCUCCUGCCUGGGUCUGCAGCUCCAUGACCCUCAGACUCGAACAAGACCUCUCCUCCCUGCGUCGGCAGCUUCCUGACCCUCAAACUACACCAACAUUGCUCCUCCAUGGGUCUGCAGCUCCACGACCCUGAAACUAGAACAAGACCUCUCCUCCCUGGGUCUCCAGCUUCCGGACCCUCGAAUUACAACAACAAUGCUCCUGCCUGGGUCUGCAGCUCCAUUACCCUCAAAUAACAACAAGACCUCUCCUCCCUGGGUCGCCAGCUUCCAGACUCGAACUACAACACUGCUCCUCCCUGGAUCUGUAGCUCAACGACCCUUAGCUAGAACAAGACCUCUUUUCCCUGGUUUGCCAGCUUCUGGACCCUCAAACUAAAACAACAUUGCUCCUGCCUGGGUCUGCAGCUCCACGACCCUCAGUCUCGAACAAGACCUCUCCUCCCUGCGUCGUCAGCUUCCGGACCCUCAAAUUACAACAACAUUGCUCCUGCCUGGGUCUGCAGCUCCAUGACCCUCAAAUAACAACAAGACCUCUCCUCCCUGGGUCGCCAGCUUCCUGACCCUUGAAUUACAACAACAUUGCACCUGCCUGGGCCUGUAGCUCGAUGACCCUCGAACUAGAACAAGAACUCUCCUCCCUGAGUCGCCAGCUUCCUGACCCUCGAACUACAACAGCAUUGCUCCUCCAUGGGUCUGCAGCUCCACAACCCUGAAACUAGAACAAGACCUCUCCUCCCUGGGUCUGCAGCUCCACCACCCUCACCCUAGAACAGCAGCACCAGCUCCUUCCUGGACCUCCAGCUCAAUGACUCUCAGACUUCAAAGGCAGCACCAUCUCCACCCCCAGGCUCCAGCUCCAACACCCUCAGAUUUGAGCAGCGACAACACCAGCUCCUUUCUGGGUCUUCUGUUUCACGAUCCUUAAAUUAGAACAGCAGCACCAUCUUCUCCCUGGGUCUCCAGCUCCACGAGACUCAAGCUAGAAUAGCAGCACCAGCUCCUCUCGGAUCUUCAGUUCCACGACCCUAAGACAUCAGUGGUAGCACCGGCUCCUCCCCUGGGCUCCAGCUCCAGGACCCUCAGACUUGAACAAAAACACCAGCUCCUCCCCAGGCCUCCAGCUCCUUGACCCUCAUAAACAAUCCCUUCUUAUGAAAUGUAGCAGUCAGGAAAACUAUAGAGGAAGUAAAUAAAUAAAUGUUUUCUUUCAAAUUGAUGUUUC